Molecule: ribosomal RNA, 274 nt
Filed under: uncultured bacterium
Lineage: Bacteria
Description: partial 16S ribosomal RNA
Rfam family: Bacterial small subunit ribosomal RNA
Source: RNAcentral
UACGUAGGGUGCAAGCGUUGUCCGGAAUUAUUGGGCGUAAAGCGCGCGUAGGCGGCUCGGAAAGUCGGAUGUGAAAAUCCGGGGCUCAACCCCGGACCUGCAUCCGAUACUCCCGAGCUGGAGGCAGGCAGGGGAGAUCGGAAUUCCUGGUGUAGCGGUGAAAUGCGCAGAUAUCAGGAGGAACACCGGUGGCGAAGGCGGAUCUCUGGGCCUGAUCCGUGACCGCUCGACGGCGCGAAAGCUAGGGGAGCAAACAGGAUUAGAAACCCCUGGU